CACAGUAUGGCUUCCCCAAAAUGGCCGCAUUUAGAAUGUGCCAUGGACCAAUAAAAACUGCAGUUUGGACACCCCUGGUGUAGACCAGUGUGAGUAGCAGAGAUGCAGCAUCCCUGAACAGAAGCAGGAGUUCGUCUUUGAACCGGGUGAUGCAAGCGUUCCGACGGGAAAAGGCGUCUUUAUAAAUAAAGAUACUGUGGAACCCCUUUGUGUCGACGCCCCUCGGAUUGGCUGACAAAUGUCAACAUAAGCGGUUGUGGACAUAACCAAGGAAGGAUCCGUGUUGCCGGGCUGUUGCUAGGGAAGUCGCAUCCAAACAGAAGAAAAACCAGACCUGAACCAGAAGUAAAAAUGCGGAGACUCCACCAAAACAGUUCUAAGUACCCCGGU
Molecule: non-coding RNA, 390 nt
Organism: Doryrhamphus excisus (bluestripe pipefish)
Lineage: Eukaryota; Metazoa; Chordata; Actinopteri; Syngnathiformes; Syngnathidae
Source: RefSeq, a predicted model, not a curated record